UAUGACUUCACUAUGCCAUCAGGAUCUUUAUGUCUAUACUUUGGGCUAUGACAUCCAGUUUGAUAAUUCUCUUUGAAGCUUCAGUCAGAAGUUCUUAAAAACAUGGAGCAAGAUAGGACUCAAGAAAUAAUGAGAGCUGAAGACAAGUGCUGGUUCUUUCAGAACACUAUGAUUCACUUAGAAGACAAUCAUAAUCUCUGACUUCUUAAGGAUAUUCUAUGGUAUUACUGAUUGCUAAUUUCAGAGGUUUCUCAAAAGAAAACUCCAGGUCAUCAACUUAAGAAUUACAUAUAAUCUACAGUUUCUAUUUGGGGAUAUACCAUCAACUCCCUGAUCAUCCCACGAUAUAAAUGGGCAGGCAGAAGAUUUACUCCCUGUUCUGCACAGCAAUACCAUUGGAACUACUGAAGCUUUCUUGAGUGGUGUGAGGGCAACUUGUAACAAUGUAUUGACACAAACAGCGAAGUAUUUUUUAAGGAUCAUCUCCAUGACCAUAUAGAAUAUAAUUGAGUAUGUAAUUAGACUGAAAAAGGGACAGCAGUUAUCAUAAUUUCUGCAAUCAAGGCCCACUAUAUAUUUGAUGGUAGAAAGGAAUGAAGAGAGUUUAGAGAUGAAAAAUGACUGAAGAUGAGUGAAGAAUCAAGGAAAUAUAAAAUUAACCAAAUAGCAGGGUUAUUUUUCAAAUGAACAUGUCCUCUUAAAUAACAUUAAAAAAACAGAAGAUGAACAUGGCUUAAAGAUUUUAAAAAGGGAAUUUAGGAAUUUUGCAAGUUUUCAGAAAAGUAUUUGAUAUUCUUAUCCUUAUGUUUGAAACAGAUGAAAAGCUAAAAAAAUCCUUCAUCUUCAAAAUCACUGAUAAGUACUUUCAGUAUAUUUAAUGAUGCAAAUGUUCACUCUAUGACACUCUACUUAUCCUUGAAACCAAGGGAAUUUUAGUAAUUUAUACUACUUUUCUUUCCUCACACCCUCUUAACAGAGCCAUC
Canis lupus familiaris (dog) is the source of this 983-nucleotide long non-coding RNA. RefSeq lists it as uncharacterized. Lineage: Eukaryota; Metazoa; Chordata; Mammalia; Carnivora; Canidae. The record is from RefSeq and is a predicted model, not a curated record. The transcript is spliced from 5 exons.